UACAGAGGUGGCAAGCGUUGUUCGGAAUUACUGGGCGUAAAGGGCGCGUAGGCGGCCUUCUAAGUCAGACGUGAAAUCCCCAGGCUUAACUUGGGAACUGCGUCUGAUACUGGGAGGCUUGAGUUUGGGAGAGGGAUGCGGAAUUCCAGGUGUAGCGGUGAAAUGCGUAGAUAUCUGGAGGAACACCGGUGGCGAAGGCAAUCCCCUGGGCCUGCACUGACGCUCAUGCACGAAAGCGUGGGGAGCAAACAGG
This 253-nucleotide ribosomal RNA is filed under the name uncultured bacterium. RNAcentral's name for it is "partial 16S ribosomal RNA". It matches the Rfam family "Bacterial small subunit ribosomal RNA", at positions 524 to 776 of the family's 1533-position model. The record is from RNAcentral.